GGUGGCUCAGUGGAAGAGUGCUUGCCUUGCAUGCAUGAAGCCCUGGGUUCGAUUCCUUAGCACCA
RNAcentral lists this transfer RNA (65 nucleotides) under Dipodomys ordii (Ord's kangaroo rat). It matches the Rfam family "tRNA". Rfam says of the family: Transfer RNA (tRNA) molecules are approximately 80 nucleotides in length. Their secondary structure includes four short double-helical elements and three loops (D, anti-codon, and T loops). The record is from Rfam by way of RNAcentral. Lineage: Eukaryota; Metazoa; Chordata; Mammalia; Rodentia; Heteromyidae.